UAGGCACAAUCCUUGUUUCAGCUUAAAUGUUUUCCCCAACAUGCCACUCAGAUAACACAAGGUAGAGCCAUGGUUUGAACAGAAAUGUCUUCCUUCAAAGUUUCAGCUCUUGUCCUUUCUUCCACCCACCCCCAUCCCACCUACUCAUAUGACUAUGUGUUGCAUGAAAGCACAUACGUGUGCAUAUAGAAAAAAGAUUCAGAUGGGGAGGGGAAUAUAGCUGGAGAAGUAUAGAUUGAUUAUGGAUUGGUGACUGGUGAAAAGUAUUUCUGCCAGAAGCCCCCACACUACAAAAUGUAAUCCUAUUAAUGUGUGUCAUCUAAAAACAUAUAUUGUAUCCUAGCUGUAAGAAUUUCUAUUUAAUGGGCUACAAAGACAAAUUUUGGAGAUCCUAAGCAAUUUGAGUCUCUUAUUCUUCUAGUAUAAUCAAACAGUGAUCCACUUUCUUGGCCUUCCCCCAGAAUCCUUGCUCCCAUGGCAAGUUUUUCAGCCCAACUGGUGGAAAUUGUUUUGUCCUGAUUGAGAGGUAUUAAAGAAAAAAUAUCUACCCCAGCACCUUAGUUUUCUAAAUCACUUGUCUUUGCUUGUUUCCUAGCAGCAUGAAAUACUAGUCUGGAGAAAUAGAUUUAGAAUUAGUUUCAAUUGCCAUUUAUUGAUCACAGGUACUAUGCAUACAAUUUUCAUAAAUGGUCACAUUUGAUUUUGAUUCUCAUCAAAAUGAUUUCUAUUUAGCAAUGAAGAACUGAGGGUCUAAUGGAUUAGGAGACUUGCUCAAUGUACCCUGUUAGUAAGGGGACAGAAUAGGAACUGGAGCUGGGCUCUGCAGAAUUCAUGGCCUGGCUCUUUCCACAGUAUUCACAUUCUCUCCAGGCAGAAGAUACGAUCUGCCUAAAUACUUGCUUUCCAGGCCAUCCACUAGUUCUGCUGUAUCCUGGGAACCUGCAGGACCAGCCAAGCCCAGGACAGGGCCGCCUGGGGCCAGGGCAGGUAGACUUACCUGGAAGAGCACCAGCCUGGCUAUCAGCAUAUCCACUUUCUUCCCAUUUCCUUUUGCAGCCUCCUUCCUUGGUUCACAAUGACAGUCCAACUUCUGCCAGUCCUGACUGUCAUUCAAGCCUUUUUGCUAUUUAAGAAUUUUGAGGAAGAAAACCGUCAUGUACUCAAAAUCCUGGUAAUCAGAAGUGUCUGGAGAUUUCGAGCUGUUAACAUAGAGAGGUGGCAAAAUUAUUUUCUGGGAUAUCCUUAUGGGCCUGAAUGGCAGCGGGAGUCGACAUAGCUGGUGCCUGGGCAGGUUUCCAAAGCACAGCCGAGGUGGAGAGUAGGUGAGGGCUGCAACAAAGGUCCCGACAUCUGAAGAGCACUGCACAGUUUGUCAGAGGAUUUCAGCUCCACACUCUCACUUAGUCCUCACAGCAACCCCAUGCAGUGACUGCUGUCACUUCUUUUCAUGGCUGAGAAGACUGUUGGGAGAGGAAAAAUGAAUUGCCCACUGGCAGGCAGAUUCAUAAUCCACUUAGGAAAAAGGAGGGGGGAUGCACGGAGUUAGCACAUAUUAAGUGCCUGCUGUAGUCAAGCCCUGUUGGACACCAGGGACAUCUGGACCUUGACAACGGAGCGAAGGGGUGGUCCUGCCUGCACCAGGUUUCAGUGGCUUCUCAGGCUUCUCUGCAGCAUGGGUGUUCCUGCCUUGGCCAGAGCCGAAAUCCCAGAGCAGUGAAAGAGGAGCCAGUGUCAUGGGGCUUCUGGUU
This is a long non-coding RNA of Homo sapiens (human), 1748 nucleotides long. Ensembl annotates it as non-protein coding RNA, associated with MAP kinase pathway and growth arrest. Its record names the gene NAMA. Lineage: Eukaryota; Metazoa; Chordata; Mammalia; Primates; Hominidae. The record is from Ensembl.